UUCAAAUGGGGCGGUUGCUGUCCCAAAGGCCGGGCGUCGGGGUGGAGAGUCGUGUGCUAGAUGAAUGUAAACACUAUUUGAUUCAUAGUCAGAAUGCCGCUAAGUGUGUAGAUUCUCCCUUGAGAAAAACUUAUCAAAACUCUCCACACCCACGAGAGACCCUGUCAUGAAGGGAAAGAGACAACUCACGUUCUCUCUACAUUCACUACGUUGUCUUUAUGGUCGACUAAUAUCGCUUUUAUAACUCGGGUAAUGGUUGAUGUUUGAUUCAUGUGAACGUUGGUGGUACCGGAAGUCGACGGUAACAACACAGAUUUUACUGAAGGUACAUAAAAGCCAAGUUCUGAACGUACUUCAGUAUCCCUAAACCUUCUAUUAUCUGACUUGAAUACAGUUCGGUAUUAAACUAAAUUAACCUUUGUAUUGGCUAACUCGAAUGUUGUUCGGGAAUACGCUGAUUCAAGCUGUAUAUCCAGUCGUUAAAUUUCACUAAUUUUGAAUAGAAAUAUUCUGAUAAAACAAAUUUCUCGCAGUAUCUCUGCACUUAUGCAGAAGACAUAUUGUUCGUCUCCAAAGAGCAUGUGGAAUACUGUAAGCAACUGUUUGUUUCGUGGAGCAGCACUGGUAAGUCCAGAAGACACAAUGUAUUAAUAUUAUAUUGUAUUGAAUUCUAUAGAAUAUAUGAAUGUAUUCAUGUAAACAAUGUAUUCAUUCUCCUGCGCACAUGCUAACAUCACUGUGAGUCAUUUUGACAUAUCGUUGUCAAUCAUAAGUCAUAAGAUGCAGCUAAAUAGUCAUAUUGUACUCUCGUCACAAUUUAUUUGUUGUUUUUUGUGUCAAGGAAAGGUAUGGGUUUGAUAGAGUAAAGAGUGAAGUAACGGUUGUGAGGCUUGAGAGAGGGAUGUCAUGGAAGAGGUGAAUUAUUCAGGUAAUGGUUGAGAGAGCAUGUACGGUUACGAAAUGAUAAUAUUCAUAAAUUUGAUCGAUUUCUUUAGUUGUCAAUAGCGACAACCUGGUUGUCGUUUUUCUAACAAAGGAUAAAAUGAAUUUGCAUUUUUAUAUUUGUUCCACUAGCAUUCACACAAUCAUAAUUUGGAGACUCUGCUAGAGUUCCCAUCAUACUUUGCCUCCUCAUAAAGCAGGGUUGUGCACGCAUUCUUGAUGUCUCCGGUAUUGCUGUGAGAUGAUGUACACAAUGUUUUCCUCUAGGCUGCUCAGAAAGGUGUGGAUAUCCUUAGCAGGAGCAUCCUUGUGGGCAUUGUUGUAAUAUAGAGUUUGAAAGCAUGAUUCGAAUGCCUUCUCUGAGAAGACAAACUCAUCCUGAGCACUUGAGGUUUGCUGGCAUCUGGCGGCUUUGUUCAUCUGAAACAUGCAUUAUAACUGUUAUACCUCAAGCACAUAAUUUAUAUUUGAGUGAAUCAAAAAGUAAUGAUUAUAUAUUUGCAUAAUGGGUUCAUGCAAUUGUAGGCUAUGAUACAUAGAAACAUGACAGCAAUUAUGAAUAGGUAUAACUAGACAGCAGGUAUAAUUAUGAAAGUUUGAAGUCUAACCUUAGUGCUAUCUCUCACACUUACUCUAUAUGACUUCUAUGUUGAGAUUUGUGAUUGAGGAUAGGGAUUAAGAAUUGAGUUUUCAAUUGUGGUUAGCAUCCAACCAGGCUAAAACGUAUCCUCCCCAGACUUUACUAUAUUGCUUCUCCAAAACGAAAAUUUCUGCAUGCAAGUUGCAUGCACGUCAAUAACAGCCGGCACUGAACUUUGUAUUGGCAAUCCCGGCAUCUCUCUUUCUUCCACAUCCACAUAUCUCCUUUCAGCAUGCCGUGGUUGCCAAUCCAACUCUAAUUUUGAAUAGAUUAGCAUACUUCUUUCUUCGCCUAAGGUGCAUCUUACAUCCAGCAAGGGGGGUGUUGAGGGCAGGGGUUCCUGGUCAGAUUCUUCUAGUGAUGAGGAAGAGGAGGAAGUCAGAAGGGAGACGUACAUUGUGAGGAGCUGGCAUAAAGAAGGCUGGUAGGAUUUGAAAACUCACCAGUUUUCCAAAGAUUUCCAUUAGUGGCCUAGGAAAAGACCAUUAAUUCCGAUUUCAACAGAUUAUUUUAUAAAAAUGUAGUCACUGCUAUAGACUGGGGUUCUGAUUGCGUGGACAAAAUUAUAUUUCAAAUCAAAAUAAUAUAUUUGUCAUUCAUAAAGAUAACAAUAAUAAAUGAAACAAAUACUUCAUAUCUAUACAGAAUAAAAAUGAAAUUCAAACUUAAUUUUUCAAUUGGCCUUGCCAUUUUAUGAAGAUACUCGUAGUAUGCAGUCAUUUGUCCUGAACGAGUUCCUAUUCUCAUGAAACAUAACUUACAAACAUCAGAGCUUGGAUCAAUAAUUGGUCAACUUGACAUGAGUGCAGCAACUGAGUCAAACGGUAUCUUCGUGCACUCAAUUUCUUCAAAAAUUCGUUGAAUCCAAUGCCACUAAAGAGCUGAGUGAUUGAUUGAGCCACCUGACAUUAUGGUUGCCUAAAGUCGCUGCUGUUGAUUACGAAUUCCCAAGUCAACAAAUACAAAUGAAAAUACAACUACUAAUUCCUACAAAAAUACUCUAUGAAUAAGACAUUUUCUUCUCAAUACAAUUUACUUCAUUUUGCUUCUCAACGAAAUUCUACUGUCAAUCAACUGCAAUUUGAAUCUACUCAAAUGAUUUCUCAAAUUUCUACUUCAAUUUAAUACAGUAUUCCAAUCAAUCACACAUAUAUAUGAGAUGAUUAAUAAUUACAUGAUAUUGAAUGAGAUAUGCAGGUACAUGUUUUACGAUUUGUGUCACUGAGAGCAUAAAUAUAAAUACUUAACCGGGUAUCCCAUUCCGAGGAUCUUAGACGCCAUCCCAGAUCAUACUAAUAAAAUCAAAUUAUAAUACUAAUGAAGGUAGUCGAUUAAAUCAAUAUCAUGGAGAAAAAUUAUACGAAAUAUAAAAUAAAUUAUAUAGAAUAUUCAAGAAAAAUAGAUAUUCAGGUCCACUAGAAGCGAUAGAAUUUACUUUACUCAAUGCUAUUCAAACUCUAGUCAAAGAUUUCUUUAGAUUUUACUUUCCUCCACUUCUUCACUUUACACUACUUUUUACUUCUUCACUUUACUCUUAUGAAAUCUUCAAUAAAUAAAUCACAAAUGAAAUGAAUUCAAUAUUUCAAUUAUCUUAGCUAAUUUUCCAAUCAUCCAUGACGCUACGACCAAUGUAACGGGAGGAGGUUGGGUUCGGAUGUUUAGGAGAAACAUACAUUCCGUGAGAUCAAUAAUAUUGUUCAUUUAUUUACCUGACACAUGCUGUUAAGUCAUGAUGAGACGACCAAGGGACCCAAAGUCGACAAUCGGCGAUGAACGACUUCAAUGAUGAGCAAUUCGGCGAGGAACUUUCGAGUAGUCGACAAUUCUGCGAUGAACGUAAUCAGAAAAUAGGAAAACUAUGAGUGGAGAAGAGUGUACAAUGAGGUGGACGAGACGGAAGAUUAGUCUACUGUUGAACAGUCCGACAAAAAAAUCAACGAAUUUACUUCUCUGAGGGAAGUGUUUCACCUUCGAACGCUGAUAGAUAUUCUCUCCAAAAGAAGAGGUUGAGAGAGAACUCACACAACUCUGCACUACUCUCAACCAGCUGCUCCCUCAUAGGGACAGCUAGAUUUUAGAAACGUUGUUUAGAGAGGGCUUCAGGAGUCUGCUAAAGGGUUUUAUGGAAAACUCCCACCACCCCACACUACUCCCAACCAGCCUCACCCUCAUGGGAUGACAGUGACCAGUUCCUGACACCAUACCUGACUAGACUUUGCUGACAUAAUACGUAAGAGAUGCUGACAUCAUACCUGGAUGUAACGGCUACUGGACAACACUCACCUUGAUUAGCGACAACAUCUUCAUUGUGCCAACUGUGAUAUCAAUAGGCUACUAUGAAUCUGUGAUAUCAACUGUGAUUCUAUGAUAUAAACUGUGAUUAAUAUGAUAUCACUGAUAUCAUACCUAGCUGUAACGGUUACUGAAAAAUACUUCACAUUGAUCAGCGGUUACCUGUGUUAGGGCCAACUCUUCACUGUGUGUUUCUCUAGUCUUGUGUUAUGUACGUCACCAACUAAAAAUUGUGCAUUUAAUAAUAUGUGUGCCGCAAACUCGAAUCUUGUGCAAAAUUCUGCAACUGUUCAAAUAAAUAGUAACUUGCAACUUUAUCUUUACAAAGUUGCAUAAUUAUCAUAAGAAUGUUAUUAAACUCUUGUGACACACUCUUGACUGCUCUAUGCCCAAUAGGAAAAGAAAAGUUGAAGUGCAUUACAUAACAGAGUAAUGCAAUUGAUUGCUGAAUAAUACGUAAUUUGAGCGGGUUUCUCUAUAAAUGAAAGUUUAUACCUCUUCCUUAUCUAUAUCAAUAAACUCUGCCGCUCUGGCAUUAACAGUAGCUCUGGCAUUCCUGAUGAUGUCGAUCAUGCUGAUUUUCACAUGUCCAGACAGUCUACCCUUUCCGUUUGUUCGCUGCUUCUUGGAUGCUGUAUUCCAAGGAUGAAUGUUAAUUCACUCAAUCAGAGAGGCAAUUUUUCACGAUUCAACUAAAUGAAGGUAGUGCCAAUAAGUGGUUUAAGGAACCGUAAUCUUCAGCUGCUAGCGAUGCCUGGUCUGGGUUCGAAUUCCGCCCACAGGCAUGGAUGUUUGUUCUUCUCAUAUCAUCACUCACGCACAAGAAACAUGCUCAUGUGGGCAUCAUCUGCAAGAGAGUGUAGCCUAUAGGACUACUUAGUGCAAAUUCUCAACGUUGGUUUAUGAAUCCUACAUACAGUGAAUACUGUAUAAUACUGGGCUAUAACGAAUUCAAAUAGUGAAAUCAAAUUGGCUCAUUAGAAGUAUUUAUAUUGGACUUUGAUUUAGUUUUGUAUUGAUUGAUGAUUUCAAUCUUGUAUGCUUCAAUGAUUAUUUGCUCCUCAGAUAUGAGACAUUUUACUGUAAAAAAACAAUUCAUUACUGUACUUUGCUGCGUCAUGAUUUUUUAUCAUUUCUAUACUCAACAAGUAUUUCAUCAUUGAUUCCGUUACUUAAUGAUAAUGCCUCUGUACUCACUUUCAGUUCUGGAUAAAGGUGAACAAAAUCAAGAUAUCAAGUAAAAAUCAAGACAUCAAUGUGAAAAAUUUAGGAAUAAAGAAUGAAUACGUAUCGUACAGGUACCUUACUUUAUACGUUGACAAAAGCAAAAUCAAAACAUAAUCAUAAUCACAUUAAUCACUUAUUACCUACAUCAUACCAUAAUCAUAGCAUUUCAGCUCAUUUAUAAAUGUGUAUUUGUAUUUUAUUUAAUUUCCGUUAUUGAUUGUAAUGUAUCUGUAUUGAAUACAAGUACAAUGUAUCUGUACAUGUAUAAUAAAUAUAGUGUUUCUUUAUUUGUAUUUGUUGCAUUGCUUUGUUUCUUUCUUCUGUCAUGGUGAUCACCACAUCUUUCCUGCUGUUGCUCUACUUAAUCUUAUUCAACUAAUUAUGUACUAGAAAUAUUAUUUCAUAUUUUUUCAAUUUGUUUUAUUGAGUGCUGAUAUGCAAUGAUAAUCAUUUGAUAUUGUUUGAUAAUUUGAUUUUAUUUGCGAUUAAUAAGAUAUUAUAAUGUUUUGAUUUUGUCAAAGUAUAAAGUAGGCCUAUAAAUAUUAACUCUAUAUCUAAAUUUUUCACAUUGAUGAUGUAUUUAGAUUUCCAUCUUUUCAAUUGUUCACGAUUUUGUAAUGUUGUCAAAAAUUCAUGAUAAGUUGAACUUUUGUGACAUUUUCACUUGGCAGAGAAAAGAUAGAAUAGGGGUACCAUGGUGAAACAAGCAUUAUAUUUAAUAUGUCUGAGGGAUUUUCUGAAUAUGGUUAACUACUAAAGUUCAUAGAAUGUAUAGGAAUUUAAUUUGUUGAUUUCCUAUGUUGAAAUUGAUUAAAUGAAAUUAGAUGAAUGCUUGAAUGUUUUUAAUGUGGUGAUGACAAAUUUUGAACUGUUUUCAGUAAAAGUAUUCAAAUGAACUGUUACAAGUGAUAAACAAACUAUACCAGUUGAAAGCAUCACAUGUGGCAAAUCAGAUGAUUCGCCACAAAUCUAAUACUGAUUCAUCGUGUUGUACUCCUAAUAUUAUGUUGAAUAUAGUCCUCAAUUUUAUUUCAUAUAAUUAUUGCAAUAUUGUCCGUUGCUUUUAUUUCUAUUUAUCUGUUUUUUCAACUAAGGGUGUUUUGUACUAAACGGUAUUGGGAUCGACCUAUCACAUACAAACAAAUAAUAAAAUAUAAGAUAUUCUAUUCAAUGAAAUUUUUGAAUUCUUUCAAUUUUUCCCAAUUGUUGGGAACAUUCUUCUUGGAAUGAGGGAGGAAUGCAGUGAUAAACAAAAUAUUUCGCAAAAUAUGGAACCGAUUAUUUAUCAAUUUAGAAAUUUCAAAUCCCGUCGGAUUUUCAACUACAAUAUUCACUACACCUUAACACAAAUUCCAAAUGUCUGUGGAUGUGUGCUCCUAUGAUAUGAAAGAUUCUAUAAUUUAUUGACUCAAUGGCUCAACUUGGCAAAUCACUUGAGGGUUCAUACCAUUUACUAUAAUCCUUACACUGCAAGAUCAUUUUUCUCAUAGUCUGUCUCCAUCAGAGCAGCCAGUAGUUUUUCAACUACUACUCAACACACAAACUACCACAAAACUACCAAGGUCGCCCUUGAUACCGAAUUCACCGUAUCAAUUCGAAUGUUUCAAUUUAUUUGCCAUAAAAUUAGAGAAUUUCUGUUCUAUGUAAUGUUUACCAUUCUUUAGUGUCUCUCAUAAUACAAACUAACUAUACAAUUUAAAUCCAUGUUCCUACACGUAGAUGAAAUGGAAUUCAAGCAUUAUUUGCUUCUAAUCAUAGUUAUAGUCACAGUGAUUCUGAAUGAUUUUUUUCCAGUUUCUCUAACAUUUUAUAAUGCAUAAACAAGGGAAACACUAUCUAUUUGAAUGAUACAAUGUAUCAUAAAUGUCAUUUGAAUGUUUUCAAAUUAAAAUUGUAUUAAUGGUUUGAGAGAAAUCUACUCUAUUCUAUAAAUGAGUUCUCAUCUGAAGCCUGUGAUAUUUAUGUAUAAAUUGUGUUAUUACUAUAUUUAUGUAUGAACUGUGUUAUUACUAUAUUUAUGUAUGAACUGUGUUAUUACUAUAUUUAUGUAUGAACUGUGUUAUUACUGUGAUGUAUUUUGUAUAAUUUUACCUAGAUAUGUUCUGUGAUUGUCAUUGUGAUUGUCAUUUUUGACGAAACUAUAUAGGCUUAAACUCUCUAGUGAAUGAAACACAUUAUAUUAUUAUCAAGACUGAGAUGAAAAUGAUAAACUAUCAUGUUUUUUUAUUGAAUUGAAUCUUGUAUUAUUGAAGUAAAAUAUUUUAUAAAAUUU
Long non-coding RNA from Nilaparvata lugens (brown planthopper), 7373 nucleotides. RefSeq lists it as uncharacterized. The record is from RefSeq and is a predicted model, not a curated record. Lineage: Eukaryota; Metazoa; Arthropoda; Insecta; Hemiptera; Delphacidae. The transcript is spliced from 3 exons.